AACUAACGCUGGCGGCGCGCCUAAUACAUGCAAGUCGAACGAUGUAGCAAUACAUAGUGGCGCACGGGAGAGUAACACGUGGAUAAUCUCCCCUCGAGAGAAGAAUAACUAGUCGAAAGAUUGGCUAAUACUUCGUAAGACCACAGAAACAAAUGUUUCAGGGGUAAAAGUCGUAAGACGCUUGAGGAUGAGUCUGCGUCCCAUUAGCUAGUUGGUGAGGUAAUGGCUCACCAAGGCUUCGAUGGGUAGCUGGUCUGAGAGGAUGAUCAGCCUCACUGGAACUGACACACGGUCCAGACUCCUACGGGAGGCAGCAGUAGGGAAUAUUGCACAAUGGAGGAAACUACUGAUGCAGCGACGCCGCGUGAGUGAUGAAGGACUUCGGUUUGUAAAGCUCUGUUGUCAGGGAAUAAAAAAAUAGAAU
Molecule: ribosomal RNA, 424 nt
Filed under: uncultured bacterium
Lineage: Bacteria
Description: bacterial SSU rRNA
Rfam family: Bacterial small subunit ribosomal RNA
Source: RNAcentral